This is a long non-coding RNA of Ostrinia furnacalis (Asian corn borer), 3296 nucleotides long. RefSeq lists it as uncharacterized. NCBI's taxonomy places the organism in Eukaryota, Metazoa, Arthropoda, Insecta, Lepidoptera, Crambidae. The transcript is spliced from 2 exons. The record is from RefSeq and is a predicted model, not a curated record.
GUGUCGCUAGAAGAAGCGCAGGCGCUGUCGCGACAGCUCAAAGUUCCGUACAUAGAGUGCAGCGCAAAAGCACGCAUGAACGUCGACCAAGCUUUCCACGAGCUGGUCCGCCUCGUGAGACGGUUCCAGGAAGCGGAGAGAAUAAACAUCAAAGCGGAGAGGAGUCACAAGAAGAAAAACUGCACGAUUUUGUAACAGGAGGAAGCAGAACUGUUGGUGAGGCUGCCUUGAUUUGUAGACUAACGCCCGUAUUCACAAACAUUACUAUGAGGUCUCACAGUGCGCGUGGACGCACAGAGUGACACACGAACCAAUAACAGAACUCUAUUUAACGCUGUACGUUCGAUUUGCUGCUUCACAUAAGCAGCAUCGUUUGUGAAUAUGGGCGUACAACAUUUUGAAGAUAAUUCAGUUUAAUGUCUCAAGAAAAUGUAAAAUUCGACAUCGUAUGCUAAUACCAAGUUACAGACAAAACUAUGAAAUCUAAAACAGCUAGGGACUGGAAUUCGCUGCCUCAAAGGCACUUACAGGGCAGAUAUGUACCAUCCUAGACUGCAUCCCACUUAACAUCAAGUGCGAUUGUGGUGAAAUAAAUUGUGAAGUAAAUAAACAAUGUUGAGUCGAGUUUUGACUGAAUUUGAUAUUAGAACCAUCACAAAUUACUGCAAUACUACAUGGUUAUGUUUGCCUGAGGAUGUUUUUUUAUAAUGUUUCAAUAAUCUGUAACGACAGUUGACAUAAGUAAGUAACUGUUUUUAGCUAUAUUUUUUGGAAACUAAGGAAUUAAAUAUUCCUAGCAUCUCUGUAAAACUGAAUGUGUUGUAAAUGAUUACGUUUUUAAAUCAAGGCAACCUUUCAAAGGUUGAAUGAAUGAAUUCCGCUCUAUUUUGUGAAUAAGAUACCUUGAAGUUAUUCAUUCAGCAUCAUAUUCCCGAUCGUAAUAUUUAUCACAAUAUUUAUUUUAGUUUUUUAAGUUUUAUUUUAAAUCUUUGAAAUGAACAAGGCUCCAAAAAAAACAAAUAAAUUCUUGUUUUUUUUUCGAUCACUGUUCGUGCAAAGAUGUCAUCAGAGUUCGUAUUUUUCUAUCUUUUUUUUCGUCUUAUUAUUAUUGGAUAAGGUAUUUAUUUUUAUUUUCUUUUUCCUAAGUUAUCCUAAGUUUAGUUCUUCUUAUUUCUUGUUGAUGACAAGCUGCGCAAAUAGGUCGUGUAAAAUAGAUUAUAAAUUAUUUUAUUUUAUAAAGCGAUUGUUGCUAUGUUUUCGUUUCUAGCACUUAUAAGUGGUGCCAUAUUCAAACUGUAAUUAACACCAAAUAGGCAUGAUUUUAUAAUCUUAUUGUUGUUUCUUCAACUUCCGAGUACAUAGAGUUUGGUCAUAUUAAAAACUCAAACUAUUCAGUUUUUGAUUAUUAAAUUAAUUAAUCAAAAGCAUUUUGAUGUUUGCCUCAUUGCAAUAUUAAGUACAAGAUCAUUAUUUGAAAAUACGUUUGAAUAAGUUACAAAAAAAUAAAUAAAUUAGAAUGUACUAAAAUGUAAAAGUAUGUACAAUUUACAUAAAUGUAUGUUAUUAACUGUACAAGAACAAUAUUAUAAUAAGUAACGGCGCGUUCUCGAUCAAAUCUAAGGAAUUCUAUGAAUGGAUAAUUCUUUAAUUUAAUUUAUUUAAACCCAGUAGUUAACCCCGAAAUACGUUUAAACAGUUUUUUUAAGUCUUAAAGUUCUCGGUCGCCCCGGUACUAAAAUUAGUGACGUCAUAAAAGCCUGGUAGCAGGAUCCAUAGGCAGCUCUUCGUAAAUUUAUCGGGUGAGCUGUCAAUGUUUUCAAAGUUCUGACGGUAAAAAUAAAAGUGGUUUGAUUUUUAAGAAAUUGAAAUAAUAUCGGAGAAUCAUCAAGAAAACCCUAUAACUUUAAUAUCACAUUUCUCUUCUUUCUUAAAAAAAUAUCUUGAUUUAUUAAAAGUCUAACUAAGAUGUGUAAAGAAUAAGAAGUGUAAAAACCAAAUACUAAUUUGUAUUUUUGUUUGAUAUUUUCUAAAAUUAGUUAAGCGUAAUAAUACUGUAACUUCGAAAUGGAUAAACAGUGUUUAGUCUACCAUAGACUACGAGAUUUAACUUAAAAAUACCAGUGCAGUGUACCCUAUACGGUACAGUACAGUUUGUGGAAUUUACAUGUGUUAAUACGCAUAAUAUUGGAUAUUUUAUAGCCUGUGUCAAUAGACUCAUCAUCAUCAAUAAGCAAAUGAAUUAUACUGUCUCAGUCAGUGGUAUGUAGAUUAUUUCACUGUGCAAUCAAAGACAAGUUUGAGCGCGUCACUAGGGGCAUAGACAAUUCAGUAUCAAUGUUCGGGAGAGAUUGAUUUUGUCUAUUGGCAUGGACUAUACAAUAUUGUAAUAACAUGGUAGGAAAUAUUUUUAUUAUGGUGCUGAAAAUUACGUUUUCAACUUGUCUUUGAAUAUUAUCAUAAUAUUUAUAACAAAAUAAUAAUAAAAAAAAAUAUCAUGUUUACACAGUUAUAAAUAUUAUAAUAAUGUAUAUUGUAGAUGUUAAAUAGUACAUUCAGAAAUCAGCCCAACGACCAAUGCAAAAUGAAUCUUAUGGAUUCCACAUAAGCUUGAUUUCGCAUGAUUAAUAUGCUAUAAGUAGGAAGGUGGUAAUUUUAGCAUAUUUAAACCAAUAAUCAUAAUUUAUUUUAUUAAUAUAUCUUUUUUUGUCAUUUAGGAGUACCUACAUACUGUAUUUAACAUAUUGCUAAAACUAUAUCAUAGUGAAAAAUGGACGGGCAACUUUACAUGUUAUUUUUUAGAAAGAGAUAUACUAUAUUAUAUUUUUAUAUCGUAGUAUUGGUUUGUACGCAUUUUUUGCUAAGCAGAAACAUUCGUUGGUGCACCCUUUUUGAUACAUGUUUACAAUUAUUUGAUAAAUUAGCUUUUAAAGUAAGCGAGAAGAUUAUAGUUUUAACAGCUUUAGAUAUUUCAUAUGUACAUACUGUUUUUUUUAAUAAACAUGCGAGUGUCAGCAACGUACGAUCACCAGGUACGUAUUCAUGAAUUAGGGAGUUUAUAUCUAUUAAUAUAGGGGUCAGAAUCGAUUGGAGACAUUGUUAUUUCGUGGUAGCUUGAUGCUUCCGCCUUCCAAAGUACCAAACACACCACUGUGUUUAGACUAGCUUGAUGUGCUGUCAUCCGUACAUUGAAAAUUAAACUUAUAGGUCAAGCAAAUAUCUGACUCAGUGUAUGAGGCAUGAGAGCAGCACGAGAGGGUUGACUUUGACAUAUUAUGACGUGACAGACAAAAUAAAAC